This 497-nucleotide ribosomal RNA is filed under the name uncultured bacterium. RNAcentral's name for it is "bacterial SSU rRNA". It matches the Rfam family "Bacterial small subunit ribosomal RNA", at positions 27 to 507 of the family's 1533-position model. The record is from RNAcentral.
CGGACGAACGCUGGCGGCGUGCUUAACACAUGCAAGUCGAGCGGGGCGGAGGCGAGAGGUAACUUGAGCUUUCGUUCAGCGGCGGACGGGUGAGUAACACGUGGGCAACCUGCCCUUAACCGGGGGAUAACAUUGUGAAAACAGUGCUAAUACCGCAUAACAGAGUAUCGGGCAUCCGAUAUUUUUAAAAGGAGCAAUCCGGUUUAGGAUGGGCCCGCGUCCAAUUAGCUAGUUGGCGGGGUAACGGCCCACCAAGGCGACGAUGGGUAGCCGGGCUGAGAGGUUGUUCGGCCACACUGGGACUGAGACACUGCCCAGACUCCUUCGGGAGGCUGCAGUCGAGGAUUUUUUGCAAUGCGCGCAAGCGUGACAGAGCGACGCCGCGUGGACGAUGAAGGCCUUCGGGUUGUAAAGUCCAAUCUCGGGGAAAGAAGAGCCGGAGGUUAACAGCCUGCCGGCUUGACGUUACUCCGGUUGAAGCGCCGGCUAAACUCGUG